This 1378-nucleotide ribosomal RNA is filed under the name Dechloromonas sp. R43E. RNAcentral's name for it is "bacterial SSU rRNA". It matches the Rfam family "Bacterial small subunit ribosomal RNA", at positions 67 to 1439 of the family's 1533-position model. Lineage: Bacteria; Pseudomonadati; Pseudomonadota; Betaproteobacteria; Rhodocyclales; Azonexaceae. The record is from RNAcentral.
CGGCAGCACGGACUUCGGUCUGGUGGCGAGUGGCGAACGGGUGAGUAAUGUAUCGGAACGUACCUUUCAGUGGGGGAUAACGUAGCGAAAGUUACGCUAAUACCGCAUAUUCUGUGAGCAGGAAAGCAGGGGAUCGCAAGACCUUGCGCUGAUUGAGCGGCCGAUAUCAGAUUAGCUAGUUGGUGGGGUAAAGGCCUACCAAGGCUACGAUCUGUAGCGGGUCUGAGAGGAUGAUCCGCCACACUGGAACUGAGACACGGUCCAGACUCCUACGGGAGGCAGCAGUGGGGAAUUUUGGACAAUGGGGGCAACCCUGAUCCAGCCAUGCCGCGUGAGUGAAGAAGGCCUUCGGGUUGUAAAGCUCUUUCGGCCGGGAAGAAAUCGCAUAGGUUAAUACCCUGUGUGGAUGACGGUACCGGAAUAAGAAGCACCGGCUAACUACGUGCCAGCAGCCGCGGUAAUACGUAGGGUGCGAGCGUUAAUCGGAAUUACUGGGCGUAAAGCGUGCGCAGGCGGUUUCGUAAGACAGAGGUGAAAUCCCCGGGCUCAACCUGGGAACUGCCUUUGUGACUGCGAAGCUAGAGUACGGCAGAGGGGGGUGGAAUUCCACGUGUAGCAGUGAAAUGCGUAGAGAUGUGGAGGAACACCGAUGGCGAAGGCAGCCCCCUGGGCCGAUACUGACGCUCAUGCACGAAAGCGUGGGUAGCAAACAGGAUUAGAUACCCUGGUAGUCCACGCCCUAAACGAUGUCAACUAGGUGUUGGGUGGGUAAAACCAUUUAGUACCGUAGCUAACGCGUGAAGUUGACCGCCUGGGGAGUACGGCCGCAAGGUUAAAACUCAAAGGAAUUGACGGGGACCCGCACAAGCGGUGGAUGAUGUGGAUUAAUUCGAUGCAACGCGAAAAACCUUACCUACCCUUGACAUGUUCAGAAUCCCGGAGAGAUUUGGGAGUGCCCGAAAGGGAGCUGGAACACAGGUGCUGCAUGGCUGUCGUCAGCUCGUGUCGUGAGAUGUUGGGUUAAGUCCCGCAACGAGCGCAACCCUUGUCGUUAAUUGCCAUCAUUUAGUUGGGCACUUUAACGAGACUGCCGGUGACAAACCGGAGGAAGGUGGGGAUGACGUCAAGUCCUCAUGGCCCUUAUGGGUAGGGCUUCACACGUCAUACAAUGGUCGGUACAGAGGGUUGCCAAGCCGCGAGGUGGAGCCAAUCCCAGAAAGCCGAUCGUAGUCCGGAUUGCAGGCUGCAACUCGCCUGCAUGAAGUCGGAAUCGCUAGUAAUCGCGGAUCAGCAUGUCGCGGUGAAUACGUUCCCGGGUCUUGUACACACCGCCCGUCACACCAUGGGAGCGGGUUCCGCCAGAAGUAGGUAGCCUAAG